CAAUAGCGUAUAUUGAAGUUGCUGCAGUUAAAAAGCUCGUAGUUGGAUUUCGGGUGGGAAUGGCCGGUCCGCCGUUUCGGUGUGCACUUGCUACGCCCACCUUGCUGCCGGGGACGUGCUCUUGAGUUCACGCUCGGGACACGGAGUCGGCGAGGUUACUUUGAGUAAAUUAGAGUGUUCAAAGCAGGCCUACGCUCUGAAUACAUUAGCAUGGAAUAACACGAUAGGACUCUGGCCUAUCUUGUUGGUCUGUAGGACCGGAGUAAUGAUUAAGAGGGACAGUCGGGGGCAUUCGUAUUUCAUUGUCAGAGGUGAAAUUCUUGGAUUUAUGAAAGACGAACUACUGCGAAAGCAUUUGCCAAGGAUGUUUUCAUUGA
RNAcentral lists this ribosomal RNA (377 nucleotides) under uncultured eukaryote. RNAcentral's name for it is "partial 18S ribosomal RNA". It matches the Rfam family "Eukaryotic small subunit ribosomal RNA", at positions 592 to 976 of the family's 1831-position model. The record is from RNAcentral.